Molecule: ribosomal RNA, 253 nt
Filed under: uncultured bacterium
Lineage: Bacteria
Description: partial 16S ribosomal RNA
Rfam family: Bacterial small subunit ribosomal RNA
Source: RNAcentral
UACGUAGGUGGCAAGCGUUAUCCGGAAUUAUUGGGCGUAAAGCGCGCGCAGGCGGUUUCUUAAGUCUGAUGUGAAAGCCCACGGCUCAACCGUGGAGGGUCGUUGGAAACUGGGAAACUUGAGUGCAGAAGAGAAGAGUGGAAUUCCACGUGUAGCGGUGAAAUGCGUAGAGAUGUGGAGGAACACCAGUGGCGAAGGCGACUCUUUGGUCUGUAACUGACGCUGAGGCGCGAAAGCGUGGGGAGCAAACAGG